AACGAACGCUGGCGGAAGGAAGAACACAGGCAAGUCGAACGAGACCUUCGGGUCUAGUGGCGCACGGGUGAGUAACGCGUGGGAACCUGCCCUUAGGUUCGGAAUAACUCCCCGAAAGGGGUGCUAAUACCGGAUAAUGUCUUCGGACCAAAGAUUUAUCGCCUUUGGAUGGGCCCGCGUUGGAUUAGCUAGUUGGUAGGGUAAAAGCCUACCAAGGCGACGAUCCAUAGCUGGUCUGAGAGGAUGAUCAGCCACACUGGGACUGAGACACGGCCCAGACUCCUACGGGAGGCAGCAGUGGGGAAUAUUGGACAAUGGGCGAAAGCCUGAUCCAGCAAUGCCGCGUGCGUGAUGCCGGCCUUAGGGUUGUAAAGCUCUUUUACCCGGGAUGAUAAUGACAGUACCGGGAGAAUAAGCUCCGGCUACCUCCGUC
This 433-nucleotide ribosomal RNA is filed under the name uncultured bacterium. RNAcentral's name for it is "partial 16S ribosomal RNA". It matches the Rfam family "Bacterial small subunit ribosomal RNA", at positions 29 to 507 of the family's 1533-position model. The record is from RNAcentral.